GACCUUUCGGGGUUAAGUAGAGUGGCGAACGGGUUAGUAACGCGUGGGAACAUACACAGCACAGGGGGAUAACCAUUGGAAACGAUGGCUAAUACCGCAUACGCCCUAUUGGGGAAAGAUUUAUCGGUGUUGGAUUGGCCCGCGUUAGAUUAGCUAGUUGGUGGGGUAAUGGCUCACCAAGGCGACGAUUUAUAGCUGGUUUGAGAGGAUGAUCAGCAACACUGGAACUGAGACACGGUCCAGACUCCUACGGGAGGCAGCAGUCGGGAAUAUUGUGCAAUGGGGGCAACCCUGACACAGCCAUGCCGCGUGAGUGAAGAAGGCCUUAGGGUUGUAAAGCUCCUUCAGAUGUGAGGAUGAUGACGAUAGCAUCAGAAGAAGCUCCGGCUAACUUCGUGCCAGCAGCCGCGGUAAUACGAAGGGAGCUAGCGUUGUUCGGAAUUACUGGGCGUAAAGGGCGUGUAGGCGGAUUAUCAAGUUAGGGGUGAAAUCCCGGGGCUCAACCUCGGCACUGCCUUUAAGACUGAUAAUCU
This 533-nucleotide ribosomal RNA is filed under the name uncultured bacterium. RNAcentral describes it as "bacterial SSU rRNA". It matches the Rfam family "Bacterial small subunit ribosomal RNA", at positions 74 to 642 of the family's 1533-position model. The record is from RNAcentral.